Molecule: long non-coding RNA, 1167 nt
Organism: Scylla paramamosain (green mud crab)
Lineage: Eukaryota; Metazoa; Arthropoda; Malacostraca; Decapoda; Portunidae
Exons: 3
Source: RefSeq, a predicted model, not a curated record
GAAGGGAUGGAGAUGGGGAGAAUCGAAGUCAGUUUCCAGGGAGGUAAUAGAGAAGGGGACUUUUUAUGCAAGAGGGGCACUGGUCAAAGGCAACAAAAUAUAUACCUAUGAAAAGAAAGAGCCAAAAAAGUUUAACACAAAUGAGAGAAGUGUCUUGAGACCUCGCUCUCGAAAGAAUUCAAUUUAUAGGAAGGGGGAAAUACAGAAGCAGGCAGGGAGUUCCAGAGUUUACCAGAAAAAGGGAUGAAAGAUUGAAAAUACUGGUUAACUUUUGCAUUAGAGAGGUGGACAGAAUAGGGGUGAGCAAAAGUAGAAAGUCGUGUGCAACGAGGGCGCGGGAGGAUGGAAGGCAUGCAGUUAGCAAGAUCAGAAGAACAGUUGACGAGAAAAUAGCGAUAGAAGAUAGCAGGAGAUGCGACAUUGCGGGGAAGAGAGAGAGGCUGAAGACAUUCAGUUAGAGGAGAGGAGCUGGUAAGACGAAAGGCUGGUCUGGUCUGGGGGGACAGUCUCGUUAGGGGGACAGUAACCUGAUGAAGCGAGCAAACACGCGGUUCAAGAUUGUCCCAGAAACGAGUAAUCAUUGGUGACCGUCCUUAGCUCGGGACAGGACCAUCAGCUGGGCGGCGGCGGUAGUGGUGGCGACGGCGGUUGUGGUGGUAAGGUUAAACGAAGAGGAAGAAAAGGAAGAGAAGUAAAAGGAAAAGCCAGAGGAGGAGAAAGAAAAAUAGAAGAAGGCGCGAGAGAAGGAGAUGAGGAGGAGAAGGAGGAAAGCGCUAUAGAAGAAAGAAGAGCACCUCCCGCCUCGCGCCUUCCUUCCUCCCGUCUCCCGGAGUGUACACACCUGCACUCUUGAGGCUGCUGGCGAGAAGAACUGUGUCCCAAGCCCUCCACCAUGGCCGCCGCUCCGAAAGUUUGCGUCCGUCGCGCGAAGCUCAUCUUCCUGAUGGAGAACGCAGGCAAGGACGUCUUGACCUUCGUGUUGAAGCGCGGCGCGCUGAACGCCCCCGCCACGCCGCCAGGCCAGUCCCUCAUUGACUACCUUGACAACCUCCCUCAAGGCUCGACAGCCAACUAUGGCAGGAUGAGUAACAAACAAAAGAAAGCAGCACUGAACCACAGUUCAGUGCUGCUUAUCCUCUGACGUGACUACUUUAUUCAUUAUUUUUU